RNAcentral lists this long non-coding RNA (610 nucleotides) under Populus trichocarpa (black cottonwood). RNAcentral describes it as "long non-coding RNA (PTRI_LNC002247)". Lineage: Eukaryota; Viridiplantae; Streptophyta; Magnoliopsida; Malpighiales; Salicaceae. The record is from RNAcentral.
CAAUAUCCUGUUCUGUUAUAGGUUUUAAAUAUGUGAUGACUUAUCAGGAUGCAGCAACUCCUGUUGUAGUUUUGUGAACAAAAAACUCCAACAAUACUCUUUUAGCUGUUCAUAUCUCUCAACCCUUUUUAAUGGUACGCUGUGAAGAGUAUUGCUAUUUCAGCUACCCAUGGUCCUUUUUGAAGAGGCUUUUGAAGUACUGGACAACAUAUAUUAUUUUCUGUACUUGAAAAUGCAAUCUCAUUCCAUGCUCUGGAUAUGCAUCUGGCAGUUAAUUAAAGAUGCCAGAAAGCACAAUCACAAAAGGCGUAGAACAUUAGAGAAACACCAAAAUCAAGUCUUUAUAGCUUUUCACCACCCAAGAAAGAGCAGGGAUGGUUACCAGUAUCUAAACAUUCUUUGCACGAAAAGCUAUUUGUCAUAUCUUAUAAUCACAUUUUGAGGAACAGCUAAUUAAGAACACCUCCAAACAGGCUUAAGCUAUUUGUCAUAUCUUAUAAUCACAUUUUGAGGAACAGCUAAUUAAGAACACCUCCAAACAGGCUUAAGCUGUUUGGUUACUAUCAGUUUUAAAACUUUUUCUUUUGUGUUUCCUGGUGUUAUUCCGCAC